AUACGUACUGCGCAAACGUUAUUCGGAAUCACUGGGCUUACAGGGUGCGUAGGCGGUUCGCCAGGUCAGAUGUGAAAUCCCACAGCUCAACUGUGGAACUGCAUUUGAAACCUGCGAACUUGAGUAGACUAGAGGUACACGGAACUUCAGGUGGAGCGGUGAAAUGUGUUGAGAUCUGAAGGAACACCAGAGGCGAAAGCGGUGUACUGCAGUCUGUCUGACGCUGAGGCACGAAAGCUAGGGGAGCGAACGGGAUUAGAAACCCCAGUAGUCC
RNAcentral lists this ribosomal RNA (274 nucleotides) under uncultured bacterium. RNAcentral describes it as "partial 16S ribosomal RNA". It matches the Rfam family "Bacterial small subunit ribosomal RNA", at positions 523 to 796 of the family's 1533-position model. The record is from RNAcentral.